AGGACUAACGCUGGCGGCGUGCCUAACACAUGCAAGUCGAACGGACACCACUUUGUAGCAAUACAGAUGAAGUGUUAGUGGCAGACGGGUGAGUAACACGUAGUCAACCUGCCUUACCGUCCGGGAUAACUAGCCGAAAGGUUAGCUAAUACCUGAUACGAUCGUCGAGCGGCAUCGCUUGACGAUGAAAGCAGCAAUGCGCGGUUAGAGGGGGCUGCGGCCCAUUAGCUAGUUGGUGAGGUAAUGGCCCACCAAGGCAACGAUGGGUAGCUGGUCUGAGAGGACGACCAGCCACACUGGGACUGAGACACGGCCCAGACUCCUACGGGAGGCAGCAGUGAGGAAUUUUCCGCAAUGGGCGAAAGCCUGACGGAGCGACGCCGCGUGCACGAGGAAGGCCUUCGGGUCGUAAAGUGCUGUCGAGGGGGACGAUUAGUGACGGUACCCUGGAGGAAGCCCGGCUAACUACGUGCCAGUAGCCGCGGU
Molecule: ribosomal RNA, 486 nt
Filed under: uncultured bacterium
Lineage: Bacteria
Description: SSU rRNA
Rfam family: Bacterial small subunit ribosomal RNA
Source: RNAcentral